AGAGUGAGUAAAGUGGCGCACGGGUGAGUAACGCGUAGGUAAUCUACCCUGUUGUCUGGGAUAACAUCGGGAAACCGGUGCUAAUACCGGAUACACUCAAGUUUUCGCGAGUAGAUUUGAGGAAAGGUGCCCUCUGAUAUAAGGUACCGCAAUGGGAGGAGCCUGCGUACCAUUAGCUAGUUGGUGGGGUAACGGCCUACCAAGGCGACGAUGGUUAGCGGGUCUGAGAGGAUGAUCCGCCACACUGGAACUGGAACACGGACCAGACUCCUACGGGAGGCAGCAGUGAGGAAUUUUGCGCAAUGGGGGAAACCCUGACGCAGCGACGCCGCGUGGGUGAAGAAGGUCUUCGGAUUGUAAAGCCCUGUCAGAAGGGAAGAAGUGCAUAGUAGUUAAUACCUGCUAUGUUUGACGGUACCUUCAAAGGAAGCACCGGCUAACUCCGUGCCAGCAGCCGCGGUAAUACGGAGGGUGCGAGCGUUGUUCGGAAUCACUGGGCGUAAAGGGCGCGUAGGCGGCGUAACAAGUCAGAUGUGAAAGUCCACGGCUCAACCGUGGAAGUGCAUCUGAAACUGUUAUGCUUGAGUAUCGGAGGGGAGUGUGGAAUUCCCGGUGUAGAGGUGAAAUUCGUAGAGAUCGGGAGGAACACCGGUGGCGAAGGCGACACUCUGGACGAAUACUGACGCUGAGGCGCGAAAGCGUGGGGAGCAAACAGGAUUAGAUACCCUGGUAGUCCACAGCUGUAAACGAUGUGCACUAGGUGUAGGAGGUGUUGACCCCUUCUGUGCCGCAGCUAACGCAUUAAGUGCACCGCCUGGGGAGUACGGCCGCAAGGUUAAAACUCAAAGGAAUUGACGG
This 858-nucleotide ribosomal RNA is filed under the name uncultured marine bacterium. Its description in RNAcentral is "bacterial SSU rRNA". It matches the Rfam family "Bacterial small subunit ribosomal RNA", at positions 83 to 916 of the family's 1533-position model. The record is from RNAcentral.